RNAcentral lists this ribosomal RNA (245 nucleotides) under uncultured Tepidanaerobacter sp. RNAcentral's name for it is "partial 16S ribosomal RNA". It matches the Rfam family "Bacterial small subunit ribosomal RNA", at positions 524 to 768 of the family's 1533-position model. Lineage: Bacteria; Bacillati; Bacillota; Clostridia; Thermosediminibacterales; Tepidanaerobacteraceae. The record is from RNAcentral.
UACGUAGGGGGCGAGCGUUUUCCGGAAUUACUGGGUGUAAAGGGCGUGUAGGCGGUGAUGCAAGUUAUCGGUAAAAACCCGGGGCUCAACUCCGGGCUUGCCGAUAAAACUGCAUCACUUGAGUGCAGGAGAGGGAAGUGGAAUUCCCGGAGUAGCGGUGAAAUGCGUAGAUACCGGGAGGAACACCAGUGGCGAAGGCGGCUUCCUGGCCUGUAACUGACGCUGAGGCGCGAAAGCUGGGGGAG